CUGCCCCAAGGAGGAGCGGCUGGCAGGAUAGGGGGACUGCGGAGGAUCGGCGUGGAAUGGAUGCGACGGUGCCAGUAAACAGGCGCCGAGGAAAGAUGAGGAAACUGAGGCCAGAGAGGGGACAAGUCAGAGGACAUGCUGAAGAAGACCUGGGAGUGGAACAGACACCCAGGAUGCAUGAAAUCAAGUCUGAUGCCCUUGCCAAGUGCUCCCCAAGUCCCUGGGGAGCCAGAAACCCAGCUUCACGGUGUUGACGAGCCAGGAGCACAUACUGUUGCGUCCCCACCCUGUCCGUUGUCCCAGAAAUGACAGAAAAUACAUUUUCGUUUGUAAUGUGGUGUCUUGAAUGGGAUCCUGGAGCAGAAAAAGGACAUUAGGUAAAGCUAAGGAAAGCCUAGUAAAGCUGGACCAUAGUUAAUCAUAGUGUAUCAAUAUUGGUCCAUCAAAGGCAACAAAUGCACCAUAUUAUAAGAUAUUAAAAUAAAGGAAACUGGGUGUGGCA
Long non-coding RNA from Homo sapiens (human), 502 nucleotides. RefSeq lists it as uncharacterized. The record is from RefSeq and is a predicted model, not a curated record. The transcript is spliced from 2 exons. Lineage: Eukaryota; Metazoa; Chordata; Mammalia; Primates; Hominidae.